Triticum aestivum (bread wheat) is the source of this 135-nucleotide non-coding RNA. The record is from Rfam. Lineage: Eukaryota; Viridiplantae; Streptophyta; Magnoliopsida; Poales; Poaceae.
CUUGUACUCCCUCCAUUCCGGAUAACUUGUCUUAGAUUUGUCUAGAUACAAAGGUAUCUAGCACUAAAAUGAGUCUAGAUACAUCCGUAUCUAGACAAAUCCAAGACAAGUAAUUUGGAACGGAGGGAGUAUAUU